UACAGAGGGGGCAAGCGUUGUUCGGAAUUACUGGGCGUAAAGGGCGCGUAGGCGGCCUGCUAAGUCGAACGUGAAAUCCCCGAGCUCAACUCGGGAACUGCGUCCGAUACUGACAGGCUUGAAUCCGGGAGAGGGAUGCGGAAUUCCAGGUGUAGCGGUGAAAUGCGUAGAUAUCUGGAGGAACACCGAUGGCGAAGGCGGCAUCCUGGACCGGCAUUGACGCUGAGGCGCGAAAGCUAGGGGAGCAAACGGG
This 253-nucleotide ribosomal RNA is filed under the name uncultured bacterium. Its description in RNAcentral is "partial 16S ribosomal RNA". It matches the Rfam family "Bacterial small subunit ribosomal RNA", at positions 524 to 776 of the family's 1533-position model. The record is from RNAcentral.